AUACGGAGGAUCCGAGCGUUAUCCGGAUUUAUUGGGUUUAAAGGGUGCGCAGGCGGCCAUUUAAGUCAGCGGUUAAAUCGUGGGGCUCAACCCCAUUCUGCCGUUGAUACUGGGUGGCUUGAUUGCGGUCGAGGUUGGCGGACUUCGUUGUGUUGCGGUGAAAUGCAUAGAUAUGACGAAGAACACCGAUUGCGUAGGCAGCUGACCAGACCGCAAAUGACGCUCAUGCACGAAAGUGCGGGGAUCGAACAGGAUUAGAUACCCUGGUAGUCCGCACAGUAAACGAUGAAUACUUGUUUUCGGCGAUAUAAUGUCGGAGGCAAAGCGAAAGCGAUAAGUAUUCCACCUGGGGAGUACGCCGGCAACGGUGAAACUCAAAGGAAUUGACGGGG
This 392-nucleotide ribosomal RNA is filed under the name uncultured bacterium. RNAcentral describes it as "partial 16S ribosomal RNA". It matches the Rfam family "Bacterial small subunit ribosomal RNA", at positions 523 to 918 of the family's 1533-position model. The record is from RNAcentral.